GACGAACGCUGGCGGCGUGCUUAACACAUGCAAGUCGAACGGAAAGGCCCUGCUUUUGUGGGGUGCUCGAGUGGCGAACGGGUGAGUAACACGUGAGUAACCUGCCCUUGACUUUGGGAUAACUUCAGGAAACUGGGGCUAAUACCGGAUAGGAGCUCCUGCUGCAUGGUGGGGGUUGGAAAGUUUCGGCGGUUGGGGAUGGACUCGCGGCUUAUCAGCUUGUUGGUGGGGUAGUGGCUUACCAAGGCUUUGACGGGUAGCCGGCCUGAGAGGGUGACCGGCCACAUUGGGGCUGAGGUACGGCCCAGACUCCUACGGGAGGCAGCAGUGGGGAAUAUUGCACAAUGGGCGGAAGCCUGAUGCAGCAACGCCGCGUGCGGGAUGACGGCCUUCGGGUUGUAAACCGCUUUCGCCUGUGACGAAGCGUGAGUGACGGUAAUGGGUAAAGAAGCACCGGCUAACUACGUG
Molecule: ribosomal RNA, 468 nt
Filed under: uncultured bacterium
Lineage: Bacteria
Description: partial 16S ribosomal RNA
Rfam family: Bacterial small subunit ribosomal RNA
Source: RNAcentral